Hypomesus transpacificus is the source of this 775-nucleotide long non-coding RNA. RefSeq lists it as uncharacterized. NCBI's taxonomy places the organism in Eukaryota, Metazoa, Chordata, Actinopteri, Osmeriformes, Osmeridae. The record is from RefSeq and is a predicted model, not a curated record. The transcript is spliced from 2 exons.
ACAUUAACACAACAAUUUUCCUUAUUGCUAUAUAAUACACAGGAAUACACUAUCCUACACAUCUGUACCGAGUUUCAAGUCAAUGGGAGCAAUAGUUUAUGAGAAGAGUGACCGUGCCGGGAGGCUGAGCGGAGCGGAGGCUGGGGGCACAGUGGGGGGGCAUCUACUGAGCCACGCUGGGUGGAGCCAGUGUGGUUAUGUGGCCUGACGGGGGCAGCCUUUCAUUUUUGAGAUAUUUGUAUUUACAAAGAAUACCAUCAUUAUACAACAAAAUUCUGGUAACUGCAGUUUACAUUUAUUUGUUUAGCACUUUUAUCCAAAGCAACAUACACAAACUCCAUAAAUGUAUUUCUGCCAUUAAUCAAACUUGCAUUUGGAUGGUAACUAUAAGAAAUUUCAAUGCACCUACUGCACACUACAGGUUAAGGCAAUAGAAUUAAAUUCCUGAUAUACCGUUAAAAUGACUUUGACAUGAAAUGAAAGCUGCUGUAGACUCCUUCAACUCAGUACCUGCCCCUUUAAAUCACAUUGACGUCCAUCACAAAAGUGACUAACCAGGAAUUACAUGUCGACAUUCCGCAAUAAGGUCUAAAUGAAUGAAAACAUCAAGGAACUCAAUACAGCCUUUGCACAGUGCAAUCACAACUCAACAUUAGAAAAAGCCCUUUGAAUCUGUACAUAUGGCAUGGCUUUUCUAUCACAGAGGUUGGAAGAAAAGACAAGCUUUAAGAAAUAAUUUCAUCAGCUGAGUGCAAUAAGACCAGAAUAUCUCUAC